GGGCCCGCACAAGCGGUGGAGCAUGUGGUUUAAUUCGAUGAUACGCGAGGAACCUUACCAGGGCUUAAAUGUAAGUUGCAUAAAUCAGAGAUGAUUUUUUCUUCGGACUACUUACAAGGUGCUGCAUGGUUGUCGUCAGCUCGUGCCGUGAGGUGUCAGGUUAAGUCCUAUAACGAGCGCAACCCCUGUCGUUAGUUGCCAUCAAGUAAUGUUGGGUAUUCUAGCGAGACUGCCGGUGCAAACCGAGAGGAAGGUGGGGAUGACGUCAAAUCAUCACGGCCCUUACGUCCUGGGCUACACACGUGCUACAAUGGCCGGUACAGAGAGCAGCCACUACGCGAGUAGGAGCGAAUCUUCAAAACCGGUCUCAGUUCGGAUCGCAGUCUGCAACUCGACUGCGUGAAGCUGGAAUC
Molecule: ribosomal RNA, 413 nt
Filed under: uncultured bacterium
Lineage: Bacteria
Description: bacterial SSU rRNA
Rfam family: Bacterial small subunit ribosomal RNA
Source: RNAcentral